RNAcentral lists this ribosomal RNA (484 nucleotides) under uncultured bacterium. RNAcentral's name for it is "partial 16S ribosomal RNA". It matches the Rfam family "Bacterial small subunit ribosomal RNA", at positions 30 to 507 of the family's 1533-position model. The record is from RNAcentral.
AUUGAACGCUGGCGGCAGGCCUAACACAUGCAAGUCGAGCGGAUGAAGGGAGCUUGCUCCUGGAUUCAGCGGCGGACGGGUGAGUAAUGCCUAGGAAUCUGCCUGGUAGUGGGGGAUAACGUCCGGAAACGGGCGCUAAUACCGCAUACGUCCUGAGGGAGAAAGUGGGGGAUCUUCGGACCUCACGCUAUCAGAUGAGCCUAGGUCGGAUUAGCUAGUUGGUGGGGUAAAGGCCUACCAAGGCGACGAUCCGUAACUGGUCUGAGAGGGUGAUCAGUCACACUGGAACUGAGACACGGUCCAGACUCCUACGGGAGGCAGCAGUGGGGAAUAUUGGGCAAUGGGCGAAAGCCUGAUCCAGCCAUGCCGCGUGAGUGAAGAAGGUCUUCGGAUUGUAAAGCACUUUAAGUUGGGAAGAAGGGCAGUAAGUUAAUACCUUGCUGUUUUGACGUUACCAACAGAAUAAGCACCGGCUAACUUCGUG